ACUCAACUGAUGAGUCCCAAAUAGGACGAAAUGCGCGUCCUGGAU
This 45-nucleotide non-coding RNA is filed under the name Schistosoma mansoni. Lineage: Eukaryota; Metazoa; Platyhelminthes; Trematoda; Strigeidida; Schistosomatidae. The record is from RNAcentral.